GUUUGCCAAGUUGUUCCAGUUCUAGUUCUAAAAGGAUGUUCCUGUGACGUCACUGGUAAGUUGUACCGCCAGCGUGAUAACCUGUUGGAGCAGACUUCGGCUGAAUACGACGAUGCAGAGGCAGGACAAACUGUUUCAAGACAUUUGAAAAGCGACGCGUGGGAACAUAUGGCCACAGUUAACGGUCCUCAUAUCUAGAAGUUUUUGUGUACACAAACUCAGGAAGCAGGGAGGAUCAAGAAGCUGGAUUCAAGUGCCGUAGUGUGAAAUACUUGCUCAAAGGAGAAAAGCGGGUGUUUUCUAACAACUGUGCCCAUGCGUCCCUUUGGCCUACUGCUUCAAAGGUAGGCUACCGUGUACAAUCAAUGCCAGUGCCAGUGGCGUCUAACGCAAUCGGUUGAACGUGAAACUUCUUCUUCUUAUUUCAGUUGACAUUCAUACUUCUUGGUGGUUGCUCUCGGACAGAUCGUACGAAUCGCUAGAAGCAUCUUUUCCGCGUCAUUUGAAAGGAACAAAUUAUUGGACAUGGUCGUGAUUAUCCAGUUCUAUGAUGCACCUGCCAAUGGAAGUGAAAGACAAGCCAACCUUAGUAUUGGUUGUUUUUGCUGCUGAUCGGUUCUAAAUCGGAUAGUGGAAACCGCUCUUGUUGACACUCUACAUAGGCGCUGGAUUGGAUUUUUCUUCGCUCUGCUCAGAGUGCGUUACCUUGGUUUGUUGUGGCAAUCUAUCAGUCAAUUAACAGUCCCUUCAGGCAAAACACGUUCAGUCCUCCGUACACAUCUGGUUUCCGUAAGAAUUACGCCUCAAAUUCGAAGGAGACAAUGUUCUAUCUGCACCUAGCACCUCUACAAACCGUGACCGAUAAAGCUAGCCUUUGAUCCUCCGUCUAGGAUAAAAUACUGCGCCAAAGUUGAAGGUCGGUCGAAUCAUAAACUAACUAAGGAAUCGCCACUCGUUAUGAGAUUAUUAUUGGUUGGAACCUUGUUUUUCGCCGUUUGUUAUACAUUCCAUUUGCAGAUACAAAAUGGAGUGAAAUAUGCAAAAAAUCGCGUGAUAAUGCGGUCAAAAUAAAAUCCAGAUCGCACACGAUAACAAACUCAAAGGCACGAUGUUAGUUUGUUUCGAAACACGCUGAAAAUUCCAUUGAAAAUUUUCGCCAGGACCUAUUUGAUUGAUGUAGGAUAUGAAUCUCUUCGAAACUUGAUCUUGGAAGGGAGAAAAUGUCCACGAUGAUGUAUUGUUUAUGCUGCACCGAUCGAAACAGACCGCGUGAUUAUGUAAACGGUAACAAAUCGUGGGCAGAAUAAUGUGGACCAGGAUUAGAAACCCAUGGCUAAGCUGGCGCAGAAUACGAGCGUUGAAAAUUGUACGCUGUCUGGAUGGAUGCUGGAUUUUUUCUGGGGUAUGGUCUAAAACUAUGUAGAUAAUAAGAAAAGAAAAAAGGUAUGAAGCGUAAGAUAUUGAUAUUAUUAUGGUUCUAAAACACUACAUGUUAAUUGUUAUCUUUUUACGCUUGCCAUAAAACCAGGAAAAAUAAAAAAAUAAUAUUAUAUUUGUUAAAAACAAAAAAUGUUUUCAUUGCACCGUUGGAAAUCAACGGUGCGGAAAGAACGAUUGAAAAUGAACAUUACAGCGUUAAAAUGAACCUUACGAAAACGCGCUCAUGAAAUCAUGAAUCUCACGCACACACUCUCAAAAAACGGCUUCACAAGAUCUGCUGUGAAGCUUUUGUGAAGCCGCUUGUGAAGCCGUGAAUUUUACUCGAAAUUCACUCUCAGGCGAGCAGUUUGUCGAUA
Long non-coding RNA from Anopheles funestus (African malaria mosquito), 1796 nucleotides. RefSeq lists it as uncharacterized. The transcript is spliced from 5 exons. The record is from RefSeq and is a predicted model, not a curated record. NCBI's taxonomy places the organism in Eukaryota, Metazoa, Arthropoda, Insecta, Diptera, Culicidae.